UGGUGAUGAGGAGAUACCUACUGUGUUGAAUUAUGGUUAUAUUGCUUAUAUGUUAUUCUGAUCUAGAA
Molecule: small nucleolar RNA, 68 nt
Organism: Cricetulus griseus (Chinese hamster)
Lineage: Eukaryota; Metazoa; Chordata; Mammalia; Rodentia; Cricetidae
Product: small nucleolar RNA U54
Source: Ensembl